Molecule: unclassified non-coding RNA, 319 nt
Filed under: plant metagenome
Description: partial contains 5.8S ribosomal RNA, internal transcribed spacer 2, and large subunit ribosomal RNA
Rfam family: 5.8S ribosomal RNA (bases 1-105)
Source: RNAcentral
GAAAUGCGAUAAGUAAUGUGAAUUGCAGAAUUCAGUGAAUCAUCGAAUCUUUGAACGCACAUUGCGCCCGCCAGUAUUCUGGCGGGCAUGCCUGUUCGAGCGUCAUUACAACCCUCAGGCCCCCGGGCCUGGCGUUGGGGAUCGGCGGAAGCCCCCUGCGGGCACAACGCCGUCCCCCAAAUACAGUGGCGGUCCCGCCGCAGCUUCCAUUGCGUAGUAGCUAACACCUCGCAACUGGAGAGCGGCGCGGCCACGCCGUAAAACACCCAACUUCUGAAUGUUGACCUCGAAUCAGGUAGGAAUACCCGCUGAACUUAAG